Anolis carolinensis (green anole) is the source of this 1242-nucleotide long non-coding RNA. The record is from Ensembl. NCBI's taxonomy places the organism in Eukaryota, Metazoa, Chordata, Lepidosauria, Squamata, Anolidae.
AUGCUGCAUAAAGUCUACCAUAUCACCCGGGACUUUGACUUUACAAAAACUGUCCAGACCCUCCUAGAAAACCGCAGCUUCUAUGUGGAGUUUCAAGGCUGGAAAAGCAGAUGGAGGAGGCAAAAGAAUGGUUUACCCCAAGGCAGCGUUCUUGCACCGACCUUAUUUAACAUCUUCACGAACAAUCAGCCACUACCACCACUCACAAAGAGCUUUAUAUAUGCUGAUGACCUUGGACUUACAACACAAGUGAAAGAUUUUGAAACAGUUGAAAAACAACUCACGAAUGCCUUGAAAGAUCUCUCCAGCUACUACAAAGAGAACCACCUGAAGCCUAACCCUGCCAAGACACAAGUGUGUGCUUUCCACCUACGUAACCGUGAAGCCAACAGGAAACUGAAAGUUACUUGGGAAGGUCAAGAGCUCGAACACUGUUUCCAUCUUAAAUAUCUUGGUGUCACCUUAGACCGAACACUAACAUAUAGGAAACACUGCUUGAACAACAAGCACAAAGUAGCUGCACGCAACAACAUCCUAAGGAAACUGACUGGCAGUGCAUGGGGUGCAGACCCACAAGUAAUAAGAACAUCAGCCCUGGCCUUGUCUUUCUCAACUGCUGAGUACGCUUGUCCUGUUUGGCACAAGUCUGCCCAUGCGAAGCAGGUGGACAUAGCACUAAACAAAACAUACAGAAUAAUCACAGGAUGCCUUAAACCUACACCUGCUGAUAAACUCUACAAGUUAGCUGGCAUUGCCCCUCCUGAUGUGCGACGGGAAGUUGCUGCUAAUUGCAAGAGAAAUAAGGUUGAACAUUGUGAAAACUACCCACUGCAUGACUAUCAGCCUCCUCCCACCAGACUCAAAUCAAGGAAGGGCUUCAUGAGAACCACCAUUCCUCUUGAUGUUCCUCCAGCAACAGCAAGAGUAUCCCUCUGGGCAGCUAAACCUGGCCAUUCUAACUGGAUAGCCUCCCACGCGGGACUUCCUCCAGGGGCAAACCAAGAAUGGGCAACUUGGAAGUCCCUAAACAGACUCAGAAGUGGAGUGGGCAGAUCAAAAGACAACUUGGCAAGGUGGCACUACCUGGAGGAAUCCUCCACCUUGUGUGACUGUGGAGCAGAACAAACAACUCCGCAUAUGUAUGCUUGUCCACAAUGUCCUGCCUCAUGUAAAGAGGAGGAGUUGCUUAAAGCUAUGGACAAUGCGGUUGCUGUUGCCCGCUUUUGGUCUAAAACUAUUUAG